AUGGUGCCGGCCGAGGCGGUGGCGCGGGCGGUGGCGAGGUUCUUGGAACCAGGUGGAACGGGGGAGACGGCGAGGUGCCGAGCGCAGGAGCUCGCAGUGAAGGCUCGCGCGGCCGUGUCGGAAGGCGGGUCGUCGUCCUGUGAUCUGCGCAGGCUUAUCGACGACCUGAUGGAAACAAGGGAGGCCGUCGCCGACGGUCGGCGACACUACUACGUCACGCGCUGCUGA
RNAcentral lists this ribosomal RNA (228 nucleotides) under Triticum aestivum (bread wheat). RNAcentral's name for it is "partial small subunit ribosomal RNA". Lineage: Eukaryota; Viridiplantae; Streptophyta; Magnoliopsida; Poales; Poaceae. The record is from RNAcentral.